This 466-nucleotide ribosomal RNA is filed under the name uncultured bacterium. Its description in RNAcentral is "partial 16S ribosomal RNA". It matches the Rfam family "Bacterial small subunit ribosomal RNA", at positions 29 to 507 of the family's 1533-position model. The record is from RNAcentral.
ACGAACGCUGGCGGCGUGCUUAACACAUGCAAGUCGAACGGAAAGGCCUCUUUCGGGGGGUACUCGAGUGGCGAACGGGUGAGUAACACGUGAGUAACCUGCCCUUGACUUUGGGAUAACUUCAGGAAACUGGGGCUAAUACCGGAUAGGAGCUCCUGCUGCAUGGUGGGGGUUGGAAAGUUUCGGCGGUUGGGGAUGGACUCGCGGCUUAUCAGCUUGUUGGUGGGGUAGUGGCUUACCAAGGCUUUGACGGGUAGCCGGCCUGAGAGGGUGACCGGCCACAUUGGGACUGAGAUACGGCCCAGACUCCUACGGGAGGCAGCAGUGGGGAAUAUUGCACAAUGGGUGGAAGCCUGAUGCAGCAACGCCGUGUGCGGGAUGACGGCCUUCGGGUUGUAAACCGCUUUCGCUCAUGACGAAGCUUUGUGUGACGGUAAUGGGUAAAGAAGCACCGGCUAACUACGUG